CCUCAUCAGUCAAAACUGCAGUAACAGCAAAUCCCGUCUGAUAACACAAGCUGUAAACACGCUUAUAUUAAGCUUGGCACAGCUUUCAUUCUACUGGUGACAUCUUAAGGUAUCAUCUGUACAUGCACAGAGAACAAAGGUGUUCUCAUGAGACUUAUAAGCCUUCUUAUCCUGAAUUAAUGGUAACGUGAAGUUGCAGGCUGCUAGAAGAGAUCUACAUUCCUCAGUUGUGCAGUGAGGUCAAAUGUCCUGUCUGGAACUGAUGACGUCAGGAAUCAAGCUUAAACUGACAGAUGCUUGAUCCAAGGAGAAAUGACAAUUAAAGAGACCACCAUCUUCUGGGCCAUCCUCAUACAGUGGCAAGUGUUCCUCAUGGAUCCAUGAUGUCUAUCAAAUACCUGAUCCACACGAUGGAAGCCUGAUAUAGACACAACCAUGAUGUUUAAUCAACCAAAAACCAGCACAAUAACUUGUUAUACAGUUGCUGCAAACAUUCUCCUGGGCCACAUACACAGAAAUAAAGUUGUUCGGAAACAAUCUGGUGGUUUGAUCCUGACAGUAACCACACACUAUACAAUAACUUGGUUUAUGUUGAUGCCUGAAGAAAGAAACUGCAAACUUUACACUUUAUUUUGUUUCUUGGAGAUGCAGCGUUGCAACCACUUACAGGGACAUAGACUGUAUACACAAGUGGGCAUUGCUUUACUGACUUUUGAUAUUUUCCUACACCAAUAAAUGUUAAAAUAUUUUAUAAGUUGAAUUUUACCCCAUUCAGGUACUAAAUCACUGUGUACCUGAUAAAAGGACAUUUAUCGAGAUUACCUUGUCUCACUCACUCGCGACAGGUCAUCACGAGAGGAGGAUUAUGUCAGGACAAUUGUCCAGUAUAAUUCACCGUUUUGACAUUGCAUAUUAAUCACAUAUGUCUGUGCUAUAUAAUAUAGGGGUACAAUUGAUCAUGUGUAUUUACUUAUAUAUUCAGGUACACAUACACAUAUAUAUUAUUUUUCAGUAUUAAUAUGUAGCUAUUAGCUAGUGCUGCUUGUCAGUAUAUAAUUAUCAAAAUAAUCCAUGUUUUGUUACUAUGAUAUUCAAGGUCCCCAACAUAGCUGCAUGAUUCCUAUCAUUAUAUUACUGGUAUAAAUAUUCACAAAUAUCCCCAUGUUUGUCAUACAUGGUUCCAGUAAGUCUCUUUUUCUAUAAAAAUUAGUGGGGUUCAACCUUGGUUAAUGGUCAAAUAGAGAUACUGACUUGUUUUUCAGAAUAUAUUUACAAAAUACAUAUUUGUCUGUUAUAGCUUAGUGACGAGUGCCAUCUUCCGAGGGAAAAAUAUUCUAACUGCUAAAUUUUAGCUUAUUGACAAAAAUGUUCCUUAAUCUGUAAUUAGUGUUAGCCAAUCAAUUAUGUAAACCUAACCUUAUCAGUUGGGGUGGAGUUAAGCACUUUCCAUAAAAUACACACUCACCCACAAAAGGGGGAGAGGGGAACACAGCAGACGGCACAAGGGGCCACACUGAGCAUGCAUGAUAACCACAUCCUAUCCAGAGGAGAUGGGAGGCUAAGAUGACCAGAUAGACAAGUCAGGAUAAUGGCGAGAGAGGGUCCAGGGGUAACCUAAGAGGGUCUAUUUACACUGAACCCCAGUGAAGGAUCCCACAAUGUUGAUAAGUAUGAAACAAACCUAUAUGAAACAGUUUUAUUAAUAUGAUUUAUGCUCUUUACAUUUAUAUUGAAAAUUGUAUUAUUGAAUCAGGUGAGUUAAUCAAUUCUGGUUUGCCUUUUAUAGUCACAAAUAUUUUGUUUGGUAAUUCCUGUUAACCUGGUCUUAUCUGUCGACAAUAACACUGGGUCAAUCAGGAAUCUGGUAAUAAUAUCAUUUUCUUAUGGUCUUCCAGGAUUAUUAGUCUACCUGAUUCUUGCCAGCUAUGCUGAGAAUUUAUAUAACAAAAGUUUCUGUUUCUUUAUUAUACACGCAAGUUACUGCAAAUAAAAUAAUUUAGUGAUUGUUUUCAUUAAUUUUAACCUGAUAAUCAUUAAAUCAUUGUAAUGA
Bombina bombina (fire-bellied toad) is the source of this 2050-nucleotide long non-coding RNA. RefSeq lists it as uncharacterized. The record is from RefSeq and is a predicted model, not a curated record. The transcript is spliced from 3 exons. NCBI's taxonomy places the organism in Eukaryota, Metazoa, Chordata, Amphibia, Anura, Bombinatoridae.